Molecule: ribosomal RNA, 320 nt
Filed under: uncultured eukaryote
Lineage: Eukaryota
Description: partial 18S ribosomal RNA
Rfam family: Eukaryotic small subunit ribosomal RNA
Source: RNAcentral
CCCUUAGAUGUUCUGGGCCGCACGCGCGUUACACUGAUGCAUUCAACGAGUUCUUCCUUGGCCGAGAGGCCUGGGCAAUCUUUUGAACGUGCAUCGUGAUAGGGAUAGAUUAUUGCAAUUAUUAAUCUUGAACGAGGAAUUCCUAGUAAACGCAGUUCAUCAAACUGCAUUGAUUACGUCCCUGCCCUUUGUACACACCGCCCGUCGCACCUACCGAUUGAAUGGUCCGGUGAAGCCUCGGGACGGCGGCUUGGUCGCUUGCGUCCGACUGCUGAAACUUGAUUAAACCAUAUCAUUUAGAGGAAGGUGAAGUCGUAACA